CAGCCACGGCCGCAGGAAAGCUGGAGCACUUCAGUUAGGAGCCUCCUCGGUGGGCAAGGAAGGUUUUGUGCUUGCCUGAAAAACGGUCCCAGCAAAGCAAGACCCCUCCUCGCGCCUCGCCCGGACGCCCCGAGCUGCACAGCCCGCCCAGCCGGGCGCCCGGUGCCAGGCGGCGGCGGCGUCUCCCAACACCCGGCGGCGGAUCCGGGCCCGCCCGGAAGUGCCCGGGCGCUGGAGGGGGAAGAACCUCGCGAGCCGGCGCCGCCGCCGCCGCCGCCGCCGCGCACGCGCGCUCUCGGGCUAAGGGACCGAGGCUGGAGUCGUAACUCGGAAGCCGGAGCCCGGACGGUCCCGGGGCGGGAGGGGCAGCGCGGGGGCGGGAGCGGCGGAGGCGGCCGCCCCUGGUGGCGGGUUUGUUUAUCCCGGGGAAGAAGUUUAGGAGCGACAGAUAGGGAAACGAAGAAGGGCGGACCGGGGAGGAGGGAUGCGGUUCGGCAGAGGCGGCCGCCACAGCGACUCGCCGCCAUCACCCCUGCCGCUUCAGCCAUCACAGCCUCGGCUCCUGGGGCCGCCGCGGCCGCCGCCUCAGCGGGAGAGGAGCCGUCGCCGGGACUGCCCGCCGCCGCCCCGCACUUCAGGGUAGGUGCCCCUCCCGCGCCGGGGUCCCCGCGCGGCCCCGGGCGCCCGCGCCUCCUCCCCGGCCUCCCCGUGCCUCGCCGGGCCCCGGCGGCCUCCGUCCGCUCCCGGGGCCCUCAAGCCACGGCUCCUGCGGCGCAACCUGGGCCUUUUCGGGGGCUGCCUCCUGCCUCUGCUGCUCGGCCCGGGAUGUUCCCCGGUCUCUGGAUUUCCCGGCCUCCGCCUGCCAGGAGCCCCUUAGUUUCCUGCGCGGCCUCUCUGCCUCUUCUCUGGCUGUAUACGUACCUCCAAGGCUGCCCCUUUGUACAGGUCUUUUCCUGCCCGCCGGGAGUGUUGCCCAUAUGGAAAAUACUCCACCCCCCCCCCCCCCACCCUCCACCAGGGGCCAGGGUCCUUUUUCCCCAUGGCCCACCCCCGGAGGUCUCAGCCUUGGCUGCCCAUUUCCUGGGGGGGGUUCCAGUCUGCAGGCCACCCAGUACCUGCCCCGGGGGGGGGGGGGGCCCCCCCCCCCCUAACACAAAGACCCCCUUGGCUCCCCGCACAAUGCUCGUUCCCAAUUUCCCAAGCUACAAGCGAGCCUAA
RNAcentral lists this long non-coding RNA (1218 nucleotides) under Oryctolagus cuniculus (rabbit). RNAcentral's name for it is "lncRNA (ENSOCUG00000034936.1)". The record is from RNAcentral. Lineage: Eukaryota; Metazoa; Chordata; Mammalia; Lagomorpha; Leporidae.